Molecule: long non-coding RNA, 1907 nt
Organism: Microtus oregoni (creeping vole)
Lineage: Eukaryota; Metazoa; Chordata; Mammalia; Rodentia; Cricetidae
Exons: 3
Source: RefSeq, a predicted model, not a curated record
GGAGCACCGCAGCCAGAAUGCCAUUUUCAUCAUCCUUCCCUUGCUCCUGGUGGUCGCGGGUGCCAUUGUUGCCUGGGUUUGCAGAGCCAAGUGUCCCCACAGACGCUAUAAAGGUCCCUGGACUGUCGCACGGGAGCACACAGACCAUGCCUGACCCCAGGAUGUAAACUGGGCUUCUGUGAGAUGCCACCAGUGGAUGUUGGGCUCGGCUUCAGAACUGAAUCCCACGGACCUGGUGGCAGAGGGGACAGUGGGCUAUCCGCUUAUGCUCUGUGAUGGAGGACAGGAGUCCCCGGCCUUGAGAGGCACAUAGGAUUGAGCCCAGAAACCGCGAGGGAGACCUUUCCAGUGGACAGCAGUGACAUCAGAAUACGGAGCCCACCCGCAAGCAGCUCCUAUCCAACACAGAGAGGAAGCACUUGUGGGGAGGUCCUUCCCCAGCUGGAGCCCCAGAGCACGUGACUUAUUCCCAAGUUCUUCGAUAAAGGGCAUUUGAGCCACUCUGAAAGCACCUACAAAAUCCACUGGAGACCAUUUCCCUACAGAACUUUCAGGAGGGGAGAAAGUCUGACCUUAUUUAUUUUGGCCUAUUUGGGCCUCCUAGAGGCUGUGUGGGCUUUUGUCUACAGAAAACCUGCUGUUGGUGAUAAUGACUGGGCUCAGAGGUUUGGAGUCCAUGGCUUUGCAAAGUCAAAGGGACAGACCUCAAAGCGAAACAUGGCCUAUGCGCCACCCACGGGUGCUUCUUGCUCAUAAUCGAGGGCCCACGAAUCUGACUAUCCUGUGUAUAUAGAAGCUUCCUUCAAACCUCUAGCUCUUCCAGACUGCCCACAAAGCUGGGGGAACACAGCUCCCCUCCCCCGGCCUCAGCAGCCCAGGAAGACCUAUGAAGACCCCUGCCAUGCUUGAAACCACCAGACCCACCACGUGCCCGCAGCCUUCAGGGUCUUUAUGGUGUUGGCUAGAAUAGAACAAGUGACUCUGGUUCUAGAUGGUUCUGUAAAGUUGGCUGCUGGGCCACCUAGGUGUGCACAAGCUCCAGGGACAUGCAGUCAGGACAUGGACGCCCCAGUGGGACACGACAUCUGACCCGAUUUGUGAGCAAGCACCUUUCCCCUUUCCUGCCCAGAGGCUUCAAAGUCCUGGACGGUAAGGGCCUGUGAGAUAUCUCAGGCCUGGAUGGAGCAGAAGUGAGAACCCUGGGGUCAGGCUCAAGGGGAUCAAUAUUAUGCGGAUCUGUCUGCUUUGCUGCCCACAGACUCUCCUUCACAUGGACUUCUUUAUGGAAUGAGCAUUGAGACCCACGUCUUCCUGCAAGCAUUACGUAUCUGUAAAAUAGCAAUUGUUAUGGGUCCUGAGUUGGCAGCUACCGCAAGGAAGGACAAGGAGGUCCUGGGGUGCAGAGCCCCAAGGAGAGUAGUUUGGGAAUGAGUGCCUCCCCAAGUCCCAGGACACAGCCAUGCCCAGGGGUCUGGGUGGGGUGGCAUGUGGCUGCCCAGCAGGGACAUUUGCUCACCUACUUCCACUUUUCUGUCAGAAGGGAGUUUCGGAUCAGAAAGUGAUGAGCCCUACAGUCUAGAUGCCUCGGGCACCACAAACACCAUUCCCACUGCUUCUGUAGACAGUGGGGACCCUCACCAACUGUACCUAGACCUUUGGCUGCUCACUCUAUGGUCACCAUUGCUGGGUGAUUCCAGCAGGCCUCACCUUCCCAUGGACCCCUGGGAGAACCCCCUUCCCCACCCCAGCGCAUCAGCAUUUGGGAGACCUGCCCUGUAACCUCUGCCUCCUUCAGCCCAGAAGCCUGCUGGCGCCCUUUAUCUGGGUUGUAGAUGGGGCUGGAUUUCAAUGUUCUCCUAGUAAUUUCCAGAACUCUGACAAGGGAAUAAAUGCAAGAUGUGCCUUGA